AAAAGAAGUCUUUGCUUCGCUCUCGUGGACGUAGGCAAACCACCGAACCACGUAAAAUUCUUGUGUUGAUUUUCGUUUUUCAUCUCUUUAAUAUUGCGCAUAAAAUCCAACAGUUCCUUUGAUAUUUUUCUUGUGUAUUCUUUAUUGAAUUUCUUCCCAUUGUGUAUAUGUUUUUUGAUUUCUGCAGAUGUAGUGUUGAAUAUGGGAUUUUUCCCCUUUUUCGUUUGAUCUUUUGGGAGAUCAAACCCAAAAUACCUAUUAUGCAACGAGAGUGGAGAAGAUUGAGGCUGACCCAAGUAGAGAUCUGAUUGAUUUCCAGGUACACCAUUUUUAAUUUGCUUUUGAGGAUCACGUUCGAAUAGUUGAAUCAGACCAUACUUCAUCUUUAGUAACUUGUUAGUUGAGUUGUCAUCUGUGUAAAAACUACCUUUGAAUUGUAAUAAAUGUAAAUGAUGCUUCAAAUUGAUCAUAAUUCUUAGUGAACUUGUUGUCUUCUAUCGGGUUAUAAGAAUGUGAUUUCUUGAUGUUUUCAUGUGGCAGAACAUGCUAGAUUAUAUGGGAAAAAUUGUGAGCACCUUUUUUGAAUUGAGCUUUAACUUUAUUUUGAAGAUCUUCGCUGUGGUUGAAAUUCAAGAUGGUUAGAAUUUUGUGUUAUGUUAUAAAUGCAUCUAUUUGGUUGCAACUUGCAAGUUAUAUAAAAUUUGUUUCAGUCCCCUCUCGAUGAAAGAAACAAACUUUACAAUUUCCUGUUUGGUUGACAUUAGACCACGGACAUAGAAGUUGAGUGUUUCAAUUUAGUGAAUAAAUUAGAGCUGAGUUGGAACACGAAAAAAUUCGACCAAAGAAGAGAUCACCAAAGAAGAGAUCACAAUUGCGAUGGGAUUUCUCUUCCUACUCUCUAGGGCUUCAAAUCUUGAAUGUUGAGGUACAACCCUUUUAAGCACUUUGGUUGUCUUCAAGUGCAUUUUGCCAGAAGUAUUUCAGUGCAUUUUGCCAGAAGUAUUUCAAAGUUUUUAGGUGCAUCCCCAAUUCUCUCCCACAAAUGAAAAUAUGUUAAUGUAUUUUUCUUCAUUCUUUAUCGUCUUUUUGUUUGUAAUUUAAUUUCAUUUAAUUGGAUUUGGUUUCUUUUGAUUUCACGUGCUCAUGCCUUUGUAAUCUGAUGUUUGAGUGAGUAGUGUGAUU
This 1182-nucleotide long non-coding RNA is filed under the name Olea europaea subsp. europaea. Lineage: Eukaryota; Viridiplantae; Streptophyta; Magnoliopsida; Lamiales; Oleaceae. The record is from RNAcentral.